GGCUCAAGUAAGUUUUCAAGUAUAACAUUUUAAAGGCACCUGUGUAAGAGCUGAAGUAGAUAAAACGUAAAAGCCAACAGUUUUGCAUUUGUUAAAGCAGAUUUUUUAAGGAACUCCAUGUGUCUUCUAGUGCACUAAAAAUACAUUCUCACCUUUGUUGUUUCUUGGGUAAUGUUGGGAAAGAAAGGACCCAAUUAUUCCCUGAUAGUAUAAUUUUACUUGUUUUACAGGACAGAAAGUUAUCUAAGCUCAAUAGUUCUGAGAAAUGUCUUCAUCUAGGAGCAUUCCCUCUGUUUCUUAGAAGUUUGAAUUUGGGAGAAAGGUUGACAAUCUGGGGAAAAAAAAAAAAGACGAAGCGAAAGGAACAGCAUGCUCAGGAGGGCACACACCACGCCAGUUCCCUUGCUUCUAAUGGUUAUCACGUACCAACCCAAGUGGCUGCCGCCUUAUUAAUCAUCAUAUUCAUGAAAAGCUCUACUACUAUGAGAAGUAGAACCCUGUGCCCAUCCUCCACAGCACAGCAGUCUUGGCUGAUGAUGUCUGUAUGA
This 548-nucleotide long non-coding RNA is filed under the name Canis lupus familiaris (dog). RNAcentral describes it as "lncRNA (ENSCAFG00845012809.1)". The record is from RNAcentral. Lineage: Eukaryota; Metazoa; Chordata; Mammalia; Carnivora; Canidae.